GCAGAGAGAGGGGGAGAGAGAGAGAGAGGAGUAUAAAUUUUGGUCUGUUUCUCACUUUGGAAGAGACGAGCUUUUGCUUUCUUUCUCUCUUUUCUUUCUUUCUUUCUUUCUUCCUCCAUUCACACUCACUUUAUUAUUAAGUUGUUUGGCCUCCAAGUGGAAUGGGUCUUUAUUAACCUACAUACUUACUUUUUUGUUGUUGUACUACGCAAUUAGUAGAGUUUAGAAUCGCCAUGUUCUUCACUGCAAUUCUUCCCAUCUUUUCUUUCCGCAACCUGGUUUCACUGCUUUAACCUGUUCUCUUUAACUAAUCAGUACCAGUACCAUUUCCCUGCUUUAAUCCUUUUUUUUAUGCGUUCUUUUUGGGAGUUGUGAAAUUGGGCUUUGGUAGUUUGUUAUUUAUUUUGGGAUUUUGUACUUUUUUCUUAGAGGGAUUUGGGUUUUUUUUGUAAAGAUUUGGGUUAUUUAGAGGGUGCAAGGACGUCUUCUGUAAAAUUUCUCUGUCAGAGGAAGCAAAAGGAACAGCAAAGAGAGAAAGGAUAUGGCUGGAGGCGGAGGAGCCGCACCACCACCAAAACAGGAAGAGCUGCAGCCACAUCCUGCUAAGGAUCAGCUUCCAAAUAUUGCUUACUGCAUUACCAGCCCUCCUCCUUGGCCUGAGGCAAUUCUACUUGGCUUCCAACACUACUUGGUGAUGCUUGGGACAACAGUGUUUAUACCCACUGCUCUUGUUCCUCAGAUGGGGGGAAGAAAUGAGGAAAAAGCGAAGAUGAUUCAAACAUUGCUAUUUGUGGCUGGAUUAAAUACAUUUUUCCAAACAUUUUUUGGUACUCGCCUGCCUGCAGUUAUUGGAGGUUCCUUUAGCUAUUUGCCUGCUACCAUUUCAAUCGUUUUGGCUGGUCGAUAUAGUGAAAUUUUGGAUCCUGUCGAGAGAUUUGAAAAGACAAUGCGUGGAAUUCAAGGUGCGCUCAUUGUUGCCUCAACUCUCCAGAUUGUCGUGGGCUUCAGUGGCCUUUGGAGAAAUGUUGCAAGGCUCUUGAGUCCAUUAUCUGCCGUUCCUUUGGUUGCUCUAUCUGGAUUUGGCCUCUAUGAAUUUGGUUUCCCUCUAGUUGCAAAAUGUGUGGAGAUUGGACUGCCACAGAUCAUCUUUCUUUUAAUUUUCUCGCAGUAUAUACCCCAUUGGAUACGAGGGGAGAUGGCUGUGUUUAAUCGGUUUGCUGUUAUAUUCUCUGUGGUCAUUGUGUGGGUUUAUGCUCACCUCCUUACCGUAAGUGGGGCAUAUAAGAAUGCAGCACACCAAACCCAAACAAGCUGCCGAACUGACCGUGCAGGAAUUAUAGGUGCUGCUCCUUGGAUAAGAGUUCCAUACCCUUUCCAAUGGGGAGCUCCUACUUUUGAUGCUGGAGAGGCUUUUGCAAUGAUGGCUACUUCAUUUGUUGCACUAGUAGAGUCCACUGGUGCCUUCAUUGCUGUAUCUAGGUAUGCGAGUGCAACUCCACUUCCACCUUCUAUACUUAGCCGUGGUGUUGGUUGGCAGGGAGUCGGAAUUCUCUUUUCAGGCAUAUUUGGAACUGGGAGUGGAUCAUCAGUAUCUGUUGAAAAUGCUGGAUUGUUGGCACUGACACGUGUUGGCAGUCGAAGGGUUGUUCAAAUAUCAGCAGGGUUCAUGAUCUUCUUUUCCAUUCUUGGAAAAUUUGGAGCUGUUUUUGCUUCAAUUCCAUCUCCAAUUAUUGCAGCUUUAUAUUGCCUUUUCUUUGCAUACGUUGGUUCAGCAGGUCUCUCUUUCCUGCAGUUUUGCAACCUAAACAGCUUCAAAACGAAGUUUAUACUUGGGUUCUCUGUUUUCAUGGGCUUGUCGAUACCACAAUACUUCAAUGAGUACACAGCAAUUAAAGGUUAUGGGCCCGUUCACACUGGCGCAAGAUGGUUCAAUGACAUGAUCAAUGUGCCAUUCUCAUCGGAACCUUUUGUUGCCGGCUUCUUAGCAAUGUUCUUGGACGUCACGUUGCAUAAAAAAGACACGGCAACUAGGAAGGAUAGAGGGAUGCACUGGUGGGACAGGUUCCGGUCGUUCAAGACAGACACAAGAAGUGAAGAAUUCUAUUCCUUGCCUUUCAACCUGAACAAGUUCUUCCCAUCAGUGUGAUCUUCCAACAUCUAAUUUUGAACUUAUUGUGGCUCUCUUGCCCCUAAUAUACAUGUCUUUUCGGGCACUACACAGCAACAAGAACCUUUUUCCCUCAUUUCAGAUCAACAUAACAAGUAAACUUUAGUGGUAUAAAUGCAAAAGGGGUUGAGAGAUGGUAUUUUGCAUGGUGCUCGGCAAGACAAGAAAAUCAGGACAGAAGGCCCACUGAACGACGAGUCAAAGAUGUUUUCUGCUUUAGGACUUGGGAGGAGGAGGUUCUUCUUCUUCUCUUCUUUUUUAGGUUUCCCUCCUUUUUCCACUUUUGCUGCAUCUGGGCCAGACGGCGUGCUAACCCGCAUACGGACAAAGUGAGCGGCCCAUUCUAGAACCUUGGCCCACUUCUCUUGCUCAUUUUUUCCCCUUCUUAUAUAUUUCAUUUCUAUUUUCUUUUGGGAAAUAAUUCUAGUUCAUGUAUACAAUUUCAUAUCUUCUCUUCUCUUCACUCU
RNA transcript from Populus trichocarpa (black cottonwood), 2634 nucleotides. It is a transcript of the gene named nucleobase-ascorbate transporter 6, with no coding region annotated. Lineage: Eukaryota; Viridiplantae; Streptophyta; Magnoliopsida; Malpighiales; Salicaceae. The transcript has 15 exons. The record is from RefSeq and is a predicted model, not a curated record.